UACGUGGGUGGCAAGCGUUAUCCGGAUUUAUUGGGCGUAAAGAGAACGCAGGCGGUCUUUUAAGUCUGAUGUGAAAGCCUUCGGCUUAACCGGAGUAGUGCAUUGGAAACUGGGAGACUUGAGUGCAGAAGAGGAGAGUGGAACUCCAUGUGUAGCGGUGAAAUGCGUAGAUAUAUGGAAGAACACCAGUGGCGAAAGCGGCUCUCUGGUCUGUAACUGACGCUGAGGUUCGAAAGCGUGGGUAGCAAACAGG
Molecule: ribosomal RNA, 253 nt
Filed under: uncultured bacterium
Lineage: Bacteria
Description: partial 16S ribosomal RNA
Rfam family: Bacterial small subunit ribosomal RNA
Source: RNAcentral